This 306-nucleotide ribosomal RNA is filed under the name uncultured bacterium. RNAcentral's name for it is "partial 16S ribosomal RNA". It matches the Rfam family "Bacterial small subunit ribosomal RNA", at positions 507 to 807 of the family's 1533-position model. The record is from RNAcentral.
GACAGCAGCCGCCGCGGGAAAACGGAGGGUGCAAGCGUUAAUCGGAAUUACUGGGCGUAAAGCGCACGCAGGCGGUUUGUUAAGUCAGAUGUGAAAUCCCCGAGCUUAACUUGGGAACUGCAUUUGAAACUGGCAAGCUAGAGUCUUGUAGAGGGGGGUAGAAUUCCAGGUGUAGCGGUGAAAUGCGUAGAGAUCUGGAGGAAUACCGGUGGCGAAGGCGGCCCCCUGGACAAAGACUGACGCUCAGGUGCGAAAGCGUGGGGAGCAAACAGGAUUAGAUACCCGCGUAGUCCCUGUCUCUUAUAC